GAGUUUCUUGUCAUGUUCCACCUAACGUGGGACCGCACUGAGUUGUCUUGGGGCCAACAAAGGUGGUGGAGAACGGAGCGGAGCGCAGGUUGCCUCGGGGAUGGGAAGGAUACAAAGAAAGCAAGGUAGAAAAGGACGUCAUAGAUGACACCCCGGGACCAAACGCUCCUCUGUCUUCCCUCCACAGUGGACAAGGCUGGGUGUGGCUCUCCCCACCAGCUCCUUCUGUCAGGGGUAAAACAGAAACCUAGCCAGAUUCACAAUUGCCUGAAGAGCUGUGAUCCAAGUUAAAUAUGAGUGUGAAGAUGACUGUAAUGAGCAGAGGAGAAAUGCUUUUUAGACAUGUAAAAGUAGCUUAGUUGGGAUCCCCACUAAAAAAGCUGCA
RNAcentral lists this long non-coding RNA (385 nucleotides) under Mus musculus (house mouse). Its description in RNAcentral is "predicted gene, 40918". Lineage: Eukaryota; Metazoa; Chordata; Mammalia; Rodentia; Muridae. The record is from RNAcentral.